Molecule: long non-coding RNA, 587 nt
Organism: Triticum dicoccoides
Lineage: Eukaryota; Viridiplantae; Streptophyta; Magnoliopsida; Poales; Poaceae
Exons: 2
Source: RefSeq, a predicted model, not a curated record
AUCUGAAACCAUAAAAUCUCCUCUGUUGACGAGUUGACGUCAGGCGCCGGCGGGCUCCAUCCAUGGCUGGAUUCCCGUUUUUAGCCGGUAGUCACCUGCUUCUGAUGAAAUCGUCCCGUCAACGCGACCAAUCUCGCUCUGCUCCGUUGUUGCAGCCGCCGGGAACUCCAGCGAUCCAGGGGGACCUUUCCUUCCGCGGGAUGGAAGAAGGCCGGCCACCACGGCGGACCGCCGCCCAGAUAAAAUUCUGGUCAAUCUUCAUCAGGGGUUUUACACUCACAGGUGGCAUCGCAUGGGCGGUUUGGCUCUUGGUGGCGCGGUUUGUGUACCAGAAUCAAGAAUUGCAGGACACCUUUACAAUGAUACUUCUUUUGAUCCUUUCUCUCGUGCCGGCAGGAUUCUUUUGGUGCUUAACACAUGAAGUUAUGCAGACACCUACUCCGUCCUAGAUCAUAUCAGUGAUUAACAGGAACUUUUCAGUGUAAAAUUUGCGUUAUGAGGGGUAAAGCAUACAUUCAUUUUGUAUUGAAUCAUAUCCUAGAAAAUCUUGUGGUGAAUCGUUUGCAUACAGAACCUACAUUGUUCCA